UCGAGGCGCUGCGGGAGAACGACUUCUCCUUUCGGGCGCGCGGCGCCACGCGUGACGACCCGCUUGGCGACACGCUGUUCGAGAUCAACGCCCUGGCCGACACGCUGAAGGACGAGCGGCUCGGCUCGCUCGAGGCGACGGCGCUGCUGCGCACGGUGAUGAGCGAGAUCGACGUUGCGGUGUUUGCGUUCGACGAUGAACACAAGCUUCGGCUGGUCAAUCGCGCGGGCGAACGGCUGCUCGGCCGUCCCGUGGAGCAGUUGCUUGGACGAACCGCGGACGAUAUCAGCCUGUCAGCCUGUCUCGACGGCAGCGCGCCCCGGGUGCUGAACAUCGCGUUCCCCGGCGGCAGCGGUCAGUGGCAGGUACGCCGUGGAUCGUUCCGCCAAGGCGGCCUUCCACACACGCUGGUCGUUCUGAGCGACGUCAACGUCCCGCUGCGCCAGCAGGAGCGCGAUGCCUGGCACCGUCUCAUCCGCGUGCUGGGGCACGAGCUCAACAACUCGCUCGCGCCGAUCAAAUCGAUCGCCGGCAGUCUCGAGAGCAUCGCCGCCAAGGAUCCGAUGCCGGCGGACUGGCGCGACGACAUGCGGCGAGGUUUAGGGAUCAUCGCGGGGAGAACCGACGCGCUCAGCCGAUUCACGACGGCGUAUACCGCGCUGGCGCGCCUGCCUCGGCCCAACAUGCGCGAGGUCGAUCUGCCGGCGCUCGUCGAGCGUGUCGCGCGGCUCGAGAUGCGCAAGACGAUCGAGGUUCUGCCCGGCGAGGCGGUCGCCGUGCAGGCCGAUCCGGAUCAACUCGAGCAGCUGUUGAUCAAUCUGAUGCGGAACGCCGUCGACGCGGCGCUCGAAACCGGAGGCGCCGUGCGCGUGGGAUGGCACCAGAACAGCCAUUGCGUGUCGGUGUUCAUCGAAGAUGAGGGGCCGGGCCUUGCAAAUCCUUCCAACCUGUUCGUGCCGUUCUUUACGACCAAGCCUCAGGGUUCUGGCAUCGGUCUCGUGCUGGGACGGCAAAUCGCUGAAGCGCACGGUGGGACGCUCACGCUCGAGUCCGGAUCGGGCGCGAAAGGUGCGCGCGCUACGGUGAACUUGCCAAAUCCGACCAUUGGAAGAAUGGCAGAUUGAUAGAUGGCAAGAGUGUUGUUGGAUUGUUGAGUGAAGACUGUGUGAUUCUCAAAAUCCCAACUCUUCAAUCUCGCAACAUUCUGCGAAUCUUCCAAUCUGCCAGUCCUCCAAUUCUCAAGGCGGCAGUGCGAAGGCGGCGGCCAGCUCGGCAUCAUUCUCCAGGCCGAGCACCCGUUUAGCGAUGUAUUCCCCCACGACCGGCCCGAACUUGAAUCCUUCUGCGGUGCCGCCGCCAGCAACCCACACGUUCGACAAUCCCGGGAAGCGGUCGAUGA
RNAcentral lists this unclassified non-coding RNA (1399 nucleotides) under uncultured fungus. RNAcentral describes it as "sequence contains 18S rRNA gene, ITS1, 5.8S rRNA gene, ITS2, 28S rRNA gene". The record is from RNAcentral. Lineage: Eukaryota; Fungi.